AUGCCCCCAAGCCCCGGCUGCCCCAGGAGGACUGCGGCGGGCAGCGGGCAGCCUGGUGCCCGGUACCUCCUGGCCGUGGGCGCCGUGGGACAGAAGGGAGCCACUGUCCUUGCCAAGAAUAGGGCGAUUGUCUGGGGCGCCCGAGACGUCGCCACCCGGGACGUGGCACGGGGGGCUGGUGCCGGGCACCGACAGUCCCUAGGGAAGCCCCCGGGUGCGGAGCAGCCUGCUCCCCCUCACCUAUGGACAUGGCGACCAGGCUGUGCGCCCCAGGGGGAUGCGUGCCGGCCAGGUCCUCGGGCAGCCCGGGGUGGAGGCAGCACCUGUGGGAGAGGCGUCGUGAGCACUGGGCAGUGCGCCGGUCCCCCCGGUAUCCCCCCCCCAGUUCCCUCGGUGCCUCCGGUGCCCCCUGAUGCCCCUGAUCCCCCCAGUGCCUCCCUGUCCCCCACUACUCCUGGUGGCCCUGAUCUCCCUCCCACCCGGCACCUCCUUGUCCCCUGGUGCCUCCCUGCUCCCCCCGGUGCCUCCAUCCUCCAUCAGUGCCCUCGUGCCCCUCGGUGGCGCCGGGAGGCCCCUGGUCUCUUUGGUCCCCACCCCCCGUCUCGCAGUACCCCCAGGUGCAUUCCCGUCUCCAGGUCCUCCCCGGUGUCCCCGGUCCCUGCCAGCGCCCCCGGUGCUCCUCGGUGCCCCCGGUGCCCCCCGGUCCCCCGGGGCCGCUCACCCGGCCAGCGCGCCGCCGCCGCUGAGCAGGCUGUGCGCCAGCGACGUCCAGAUGUUGCGCCACUUCCAGCGGUUGCGCCGCGCCGACGGCGGCGGCGGCACCAGCCGCUCCAGCCCGCGGUUCAGCAGGCGGAAGGCGGCGAAGGAGCCGGCGACGAGCAGCAGCCCCGGGCCGAGAGCCAUGGGCGCCGCCGGGGGGCACCGCGCCGCCGCCUCGCCGCGCUCCCGUGGGCACCGGCUCCGCCUCGUCCCCGAGCGCCUGCCCCGGCGGCACCGGGCACCGGCACCGCCCCGGCCACCGGCACCGCCCCGGCCACCGGGCACCGUCCCGGGCACCGGCACUGCCCCGAGCACUCCCGGUGCCCGAGCGAUGCCCGAGGGCCCCGGGGGGGGCCGAGGAGCGGCCGGGGAGGUGGCUCCGGGGAAGCUGCCGCUGCCGGGGACACUCUGUUCCGCAUCGCGAGUUGCUUAAACCUGCACGGGAUGCCGCUGCGCAUCAGCACGCCUCCGUCGCCCCUUCCUUCAUCCCUGGCAGAUGCUCCUUUCCCUCACCUUCAUCCUAACGAAGGUAGCUAA
Molecule: long non-coding RNA, 1296 nt
Filed under: Apteryx haastii (Great spotted kiwi)
Lineage: Eukaryota; Metazoa; Chordata; Aves; Apterygiformes; Apterygidae
Description: lncRNA (ENSAHAG00000002349.1)
Source: RNAcentral